ACGGCUUUGAUGAAGGAGUAGGUCACCGGCCCCCUUUAUCUGUUCUUAGUUGGCCUGGUGAAAUGGAUGCUUAAAAUGCAGUCAGUCAGCUGGGCAGAGAUAACACACACCUUUGAUCCCAGCAGUUGGGAGGCAGAGGCAGGCGGAUCUCAGUGAGUUCUAGGACAGCCUGGUCUACAAAGCAAGUUCCAGGACAGCCUGGGCUGUUACACAGAGAAACCCUGUCUCAAAAAAAAAAAAAAAAAAAAAAAAAAGGAAGAAAAAAGAUGCUGUCACUCAGCCUCAGGAAGGAAGAGAUUAUGCAAUUGACUGAAACUCAAAAGAAAAGCAGCUUUUUAAAGAAAACCCAAAAAGAGAAGCAGGAGAAACCAUGGCAAGUGUACUGGCAGCCUCAGAACACAGGCCUGGCACCUGUCAGCCUUGAGCGGCACCUGGGCAAGGACCCCCAACUCCUAGCAGAACAGGGGAUGGAACAUGGACCACCAGACUCAACAAAUCCAUGUGGAGUUUAUUGGAGGUGUUGGCUAACUAGGAACAGAGACGGAAGGGGUGGGCACGAAGGGGGAAGAAGAAGAAGAGGAGGAGGAGGAAGGGGCGAACAGGUGGAGUGCUCACCUGUGUACAGACUCCUUACACA
Molecule: long non-coding RNA, 637 nt
Filed under: Cricetulus griseus (Chinese hamster)
Lineage: Eukaryota; Metazoa; Chordata; Mammalia; Rodentia; Cricetidae
Description: lncRNA (ENSCGRG00015029218.1)
Source: RNAcentral